Long non-coding RNA from Osmerus eperlanus (European smelt), 596 nucleotides. RefSeq lists it as uncharacterized. The record is from RefSeq and is a predicted model, not a curated record. NCBI's taxonomy places the organism in Eukaryota, Metazoa, Chordata, Actinopteri, Osmeriformes, Osmeridae. The transcript is spliced from 3 exons.
CACACACACAUACACACACACCUUUCAAUUAUUUAACAGGAGGUCUUUGGUCUUUGUUUCAUCUCAUGUCUGUACCUCCCACCUCUGCCACCAUUCCAUGCCUCCCUUCAAGCUAUCGGAGCAAAGCAGAACAGGAGGAGGGGCUUGCUUUGUGUUCCUGGAGCUCAAAUGAAAUGUGAAGUGAGCUGGAAAGAGAUCCUUGUGUGACCGGCGUUAGCAGAAGGAGAGGAAACAGCUGGACUGAAUUUCACCCGUGGUUUGUGAACAAAAAAAAUCCCUCUGCUCGGAAACCGAACGUCACAUUACUUAGACGCUUUGUGGAAAGCCUUUCGUGCAUUUGUCUUUAUCACGCCUUGUUCACAUCAAAGACGCUUCCUUGCUGAAGCCAGAGGCCUGGUUUACUGACUUGGUUGAGCCAGAAAGCUGCAGGGAAGUAAAGGUGAGAAGCGAGAAGCCUGCAGCUUUCCGUCCACAGCUUCCGACAUCCAUUCUACCAAUUGCUGUUGUCGAUAUAAUUGUGAAUGAUGGCUCAGUUGACAGCAUAAUGACUUCACAUUUUGCUGUUCAUUGCAGAAAAACUGUGAUAAUGUUGUCCA